UCAACUUGCGAGCUGACCAGGAACUAAGUUGAUGCGCCGUUGAUCCGCUAGAUUUGGUUGGAUGCUGGUGGUGAGUUGCCGAACCCAACGAAUACAUUCUGAAGUCGGAUGGGGUGACGGAUUAGGGUGCCCCUCUAGCAGGGGAGAGCAGGGACUGCCCCGGGAAAGGGGGCCGCUGGCGAAGUUAACCACCCUGUAACAACAUACAUACAUACAUACUGCCACUCCGAGGUUGUAGGGUGCUGGAGAGCCGGGGGGAGGUGGGGUCGCUCGGACAGGGGAGGGGGGAGAUGGCGGUGAGAGCGCCAAAAGGACGUAGGUUUUCUGGUGUUUGGGAGGUUGAGGUCUGGUGGUGGUAGCGGGGCUCGGAUGAGGGGGAGGUGUGGCCCGAGGAGGGCCAUUCUAUUUAGACACGUCUUCUCUGUGGGACUGGGUUGCUUGGUGAGGGACGAAGGUGAGAGCGGUGCAGUACGAGACAGGGUGAAUAGGUUUCUGGAGGACUAACCGUUCAGGUUAGUGGCGGUAAGGGGGAGGCGCCGCGCGGGCUACAAUCCUCCCCCUGCGGUUUUCUGGAGGGUCUAGGAGCUGUGUGUCGUGGCAACGCAAACGCUUUGGUCGUUUCGCCGGACUAUCCCGGGCCCCUGCAGUGGUGAUCAGGCUCGUGCGGGAUCCCUUUUCUUUAUAAGGCUACUUCUCCCCUGGACCAGCCCAGGAAGGGACAGGUGGUGGAGGUCAGUUGUUUUAAGGUGGUUGCAAGACGUCUUGUGGUGUCGAGCUCUCUUAGCCUUUCUCUCUUGGAGGUUUUUUGUUGGCCUGUUAGGUAUAUCAGGAGCCCUCCCCUGCCGGGACUGCCCUAACCGAAUUUUUGUUUGUUUGUUUGUUUUCCCUUCGAAUCCCGUUUUCGUUGGUGGUGUUUUGGGGGGUUGUUUCAGAGAGCCUUUGACUUUGCCCUAGCUGAGACUUGUGGACUCGCUCUAGCGGGACCUGAGAGCCCUUCGUGGUGUAUUCAAUGCAGCGCCAUCCCCGGAUGGAGGGGCUGCGGAGUGGCUGCGUAG
RNAcentral lists this long non-coding RNA (1055 nucleotides) under Volvox carteri. RNAcentral describes it as "long non-coding RNA (VCAR_LNC002825)". Lineage: Eukaryota; Viridiplantae; Chlorophyta; Chlorophyceae; Chlamydomonadales; Volvocaceae. The record is from RNAcentral.